This is a small nucleolar RNA of Ictalurus punctatus (channel catfish), 205 nucleotides long. Its record names the gene U3. It matches the Rfam family "Small nucleolar RNA U3". From Rfam's summary of the family: Small nucleolar RNAs (snoRNAs) are involved in the processing and modification of rRNA in the nucleolus. NCBI's taxonomy places the organism in Eukaryota, Metazoa, Chordata, Actinopteri, Siluriformes, Ictaluridae. The record is from Ensembl.
AAGAUAAGACUAUAUAUACAGGGAUCAUUUCUAUAGCAGCGAACUAGGAAAUGUGAUUUGGACGUGCUGUGUCUCUCUAAUCACGAUGAUGAGUUUUGAUGUACUCUUCUGAGCGUGAAUCAGUAUGAUGUUGGCUAAUGAUCCAUUGAUGAACGUUCUCUACUGCUUAUGAAGUCUGAGAGGAAGAGCACACGACUAGAGGGAU